GUCUUAUAAGACAGCUUGGGACACUCCAGUUUCCUUCAGAAAGCCAUAGACUAGAGAGCACAGUGCUCAAACCAAAAGUGGUUGGUUCAAAAAUGCGCAAAACGGGGUUGAAGUGGUGAGGAAGUUGGUUCAGAAGCUCAUCUUCAACAGCGAUAAUUGGAGGCAGCGGAUUCCUCAAUCAGCCAAAAGUCAAGAGCUGGAUAUAGUCUCGCCAGUCAACUGCCUUCCAUGCUACUCGAGUCACAAGCCCCAUCAACAGUCUCGCAGUACAGAUCAUCCUUCACGAGAUGGCGACAAUGGGCAGAGUUGCACGGAAUAUCAUCCCUACCCGCAGAUCCUUACAUGGUAGCCUUAUACCUGAUCCAUUUUGGAACUCUGUAACAUCACCAUGCACCUACAGUCACAAACUCUCUAGCUGCCACGUCAUGGGUUCAUCUCAUGGCUAGUUGGGGACCAUGAUACAACCAAAGACCCUCUGGUGUCAUACACCGCGCUAAAGGUCUGACAAGAACACUGGUUAAGCCAAAGAAA
Molecule: long non-coding RNA, 531 nt
Filed under: Patiria miniata (bat star)
Lineage: Eukaryota; Metazoa; Echinodermata; Asteroidea; Valvatida; Asterinidae
Description: uncharacterized LOC119737829
Source: RNAcentral